AGAGUUUGAUCCUGGCUCAGGAUGAACGCUAGCGACAGGCUUAACACAUGCAAGUCGAGGGGCAGCACAGGUAGCAAUACCGGGUGGCGACCGGCGCACGGGUGAGUAACGCGUAUGCAACUUACCUAUCAGAGGGGGAUAACCCGGCGAAAGUCGGACUAAUACCGCAUGAAGCAGGGGCCCCGCAUGGGGAUAUUUGCUAAAGAUUCAUCGCUGAUAGAUAGGCAUGCGUUCCAUUAGGCAGUUGGCGGGGUAACGGCCCACCAAACCGACGAUGGAUAGGGGUUCUGAGAGGAAGGUCCCCCACAUUGGUACUGAGACACGGACCAAACUCCUACGGGAGGCAGCAGUGAGGAAUAUUGGUCAAUGGGCGUAAGCCUGAACCAGCCAAGUCGCGUGAGGGAUGAAGGUUCUAUGGAUCGUAAACCUCUUUUAUAAGGGAAUAAAGUGUGGGACGUGUCCCGUUUUGUAUGUACCUUAUGAAUAAGGAUCGGCUAACUCCGUGCCAGCAGCCGCGGUAAUACGGAGGAUCCGAGCGUUAUCCGGAUUUAUUGGGUUUAAAGGGUGCGUAGGCGGCCUUUUAAGUCAGCGGUGAAAGUCUGUGGCUCAACCAUAGAAUUGCCGUUGAAACUGGGAGGCUUGAGUAUGUUUGAGGCAGGCGGAAUGCGUGGUGUAGCGGUGAAAUGCUUAGAUAUCACGCAGAACCCCGAUUGCGAAGGCAGCCUGCCAAGCCAUGACUGACGCUGAUGCACGAAAGCGUGGGGAUCAAACAGGAUUAGAUACCCUGGUAGUCCACGCAGUAAACGAUGAUCACUAGCUGUUUGCGAUACAUUGUAAGCGGCACAGCGAAAGCGUUAAGUGAUCCACCUGGGGAGUACGCCGGCAACGGUGAAACUCAAAGGAAUUGACGGGGGCCCGCACAAGCGGAGGAACAUGUGGUUUAAUUCGAUGAUACGCGAGGAACCUUACCCGGGUUUGAACGCAUUCGGACCGAGGUGGAAACACCUUUUCUAGCAAUAGCCGUUUGCGAGGUGCUGCAUGGUUGUCGUCAGCUCGUGCCGUGAGGUGUCGGCUUAAGUGCCAUAACGAGCGCAACCCUUGCCACUAGUUACUAACAGGUAAAGCUGAGGACUCUGGUGGGACUGCCAGCGUAAGCUGCGAGGAAGGCGGGGAUGACGUCAAAUCAGCACGGCCCUUACAUCCGGGGCGACACACGUGUUACAAUGGCGUGGACAAAGGGAGGCCACCUGGCGACAGGGAGCGAAUCCCCAAACCACGUCUCAGUUCGGAUCGGAGUCUGCAACCCGACUCCGUGAAGCUGGAUUCGCUAGUAAUCGCGCAUCAGCCAUGGCGCGGUGAAUACGUUCCCGGGCCUUGUACACACCGCCCGUCAAGCCAUGGGAGCCGGGGGUACCUGAAGUCCGUAACCGAAAGGAUCGGCCUAGGGUAAAACUGGUGACUGGGGCUAAGUCGUAACAAGGUAACC
This 1486-nucleotide ribosomal RNA is filed under the name Parabacteroides distasonis. RNAcentral's name for it is "bacterial SSU rRNA". It matches the Rfam family "Bacterial small subunit ribosomal RNA". The record is from RNAcentral. RNAcentral also lists the same sequence under 2 other names. Lineage: Bacteria; Pseudomonadati; Bacteroidota; Bacteroidia; Bacteroidales; Tannerellaceae.